CCUACGGGAGGCAGCAGUGAGGAAUAUUGGUCAAUGGGAGAGAUCCUGAACCAGCCAAGCCGCGUGAGGGAAGACGGCCCUAUGGGUUGUAAACCUCUUUUGUCGGAGAACAAAACCCGGGACGUGUCCCGGACUGCGUGUAUCCGAAGAAAAAGCAUCGGCUAACUCCGUGCCAGCAGCCGCGGUAAUACGGAGGAUGCGAGCGUUAUCCGGAUUUAUUGGGUUUAAAGGGUGCGUAGGCGGUCCGUUAAGUCAGCGGUAAAAUUGCGGGGCUCAACCCCGUCGAGCCGUUGAAACUGGCAGACUUGAGUUGGCGAGAAGUACGCGGAAUGCGCGGUGUAGCGGUGAAAUGCAUAGAUAUCGCGCAGAACUCCGAUUGCGAAGGCAGCGUACUGGCGCCAGACUGACGCUGAGGCACGAAAGCGUGGGGAUCGAACAGGAUUAGAUACCCCUGUAGUC
This 459-nucleotide ribosomal RNA is filed under the name uncultured bacterium. RNAcentral describes it as "partial 16S ribosomal RNA". It matches the Rfam family "Bacterial small subunit ribosomal RNA", at positions 338 to 795 of the family's 1533-position model. The record is from RNAcentral.